Molecule: long non-coding RNA, 24278 nt
Filed under: Sorghum bicolor (sorghum)
Lineage: Eukaryota; Viridiplantae; Streptophyta; Magnoliopsida; Poales; Poaceae
Description: long non-coding RNA (SBIC_LNC003008)
Source: RNAcentral
CCCGGAACCUCAAAAGAAAAGAAAAAGUGAGACGAGAGGUAAAAAUGGACAAGUGUCCGAUAGUAGAAUUAGGGGUACAAGAUACCCACCUGAGAGAAAAGAAAAAUAAGACCAUCUCAUUCUCCUCAUAAAGUUUCAAAAAGCAAGGAAGGUAUGUAUCCCCUCAAAGAGCAAAAGUAGAAUUAGACUUUCACCAUUGUUAUCACCAUCAUCACCAUACACCUUUCAUUCGCCACACAUGCACAUCUUGAUUUGACUUAAUGAUUUGUUUCUUUGGAUCCAUGGUUUGACUAUACAAUAAAUGUCUUUUAAGUAUGUAUACUUUAUCUCCCACCUAUGAGCUCCAGAUAUUAAAGCCUUAUUAGAGUAGGGUGAGAGAGGGAAGGCAAUAUCACUAUGCCUUAUACCACAAAUACCAUAUAUAUAUUGAGAGAAGGCAUAUACCAUCACUGCCUUGGUAAGGAUCCAGAAAUACCACAAAAGAGAGAUAUGCGAGAGUCAUACAAGGAAUCUCUAAGUUUUAUUUGAAAAUCUACAAAAACUCCAGAGCUAUAGCUGAUCAAGAAUAAGAGACAUGGCACUUGACUAGAUUGUUCUAUCUUUUAACUACUCAAGACAAAAGUGACGGUUACAAGUCCCAUGGUGAAAGGUAAAGUAAGUAAGUUUUAAGUCUUGAUAGUUUACUCUAAGUCAGAGAUAAGAUCUUAUUUAAAAGCAUGUGUACCGUCAAUUUUUUAAGUAUUGCAACAACUUCUGAUCCAUAGCUGAGUCUGUCCUUGCUCAGGGACGAGCAAGAGGUAAGCUUGGGGUAGUUUGUUGACGGUCCUUAAGUAUCAAAUUUAAUUAUCAAAUAAACAAAGAAAAGGAUCCAAAUGAAAUCAACAUCCAGACUUAGGGUUUUAUCUGACAGAAUUCCACGAGUUUUGGUGUUUGUCUAUUUCUGUAGGGGGUUAUCAGGAAAUACGAAAGAAAGGCCACACGUCGGGAUUACAUAGAGAUAUUAACGUGCCACGCAAUUAUCUUACAUCUAGAAGACUCCAGAAGCCACGGGAAGGAAGUAGAGGCCGAACGGGGCUAGGCACUGGGCGCUGUUGACGGUCCUUAAGUAUCAAUUUUAAUUAUCAAAUAAACAAGAGAAAGGACAAAUAUGCAAACAACACCUAGAAUUAGGGUUUGAUCUGACAGAAUUCCACGAGUUUUGUUGUUUAUCUAUUUCUGCAGGGGGUUAUCAGGAAAUAAGGAAGAAAGGCCCACAUGUCGGGAUUACAUAGAGAUAUCAACGCACCGCGCGAUUUUCUACCAUCUAGAAGACUCCAGAAGCCACGGGAAGAAGACGGAGGUCGAAAGGGGCCAGGCCCAGGGCGCUCGCCCCCUGUUGGAUGCAGUUCAGGACUCUCUUCGCUCGGGAUAUUCCACCGACCUAUUGGACCAAGGAAAACAUAGUACCACCUCGCCUAUCGACCCAAAAACGCAUAGAGGAGGAGGACUAUAUAAGGAGACCCCCCCUGGCCCCUGGAGAAGACAUGAAGAAAUUAUCAUAGAGACUGAGGGGUGCCCUCGAAGGAAAACCUCUUCUCUAAUUAAUAUUUCUUUUUAGGCUUAGCAACCAAUGUAAGGUAGAAAUAGAUCUUCUAGUUUCUACUAGAUUGAGAGAGAUAGAGUGGAGGUGUAGAUUGGAGGAAGCCCGGCCUGUCGGUGUCUACUCCAAGCUUGUACCUGUGGGAUCAAGUUCUCCUAACCCGAAGCUUGCUCCUAGGAUUCUUCAGUAUUUGGACUUCUAAAUUCUAGUAAGUUCUUCUUUUAUUGUUCUUAUGGUUUAUGAGUUUACUUUAAUCUCGUCGCGUAGAGUUUAGAGUAAUCAUUGCUGGCGUAAACGUGGUGUUUAGGCUGGGGUACUCAUAGAUAUUCCCUGACUAGCUGGACCGUGGUAGUAGUGAGGAACGUGACAAUUCUGAGUUACCUUUGCAGAUCACAUCUCGUUAGCAGAAAGGAUAGGGUUUAUAGGUGCGGGUUGAACAUCCUUUGUGGUGUCUAGAUUCUGUUAGCCUCCCCAUUAGAACAGUAGAUUAUCCUUACCAAGGUUAGAAGGAGACUACGGUUGCAGUCUUCUCUAUUUAUCACUCACAUCGAAAGACAUUCUUUGUGCCUAAAGGUUAGUAGUAAUAGACCGGUUAGUCAGAUGCACUCUUUCUCCUAGUGGUAAAAAAAUAAAUACGAUACUCUGGAUAACCUCUCAGGUGAAGUGCUCACCGAUAUCCGUGCGCUUGCGGAUCAAUUCCUUAUUGCGUUCCCAAAUAUCAACAAGCAUUUCUGGCGCCGUUGCCAGGGAGAAAGACGGUUGCUGAGAUAACCUAAGUCUUACUACUAGCUUGUAUCUAUACUUUUAUCUUUUCUUAUCUUUUAUAUUCUUUAUUUAUUUUCUUUACUCUUACCUUAUGGAAAACCAAAAUUCUAAAUCGAUCCAUGAAUCUGCAAUCCCUUUAGCAACUGACCUUUUACCAUGGGAGUCAUCACAGCCAAUCGAAACAUCCCAGUAUAAGUUAAGUUCUAGGUUGAUUGCCAUGAUUCAAAACCUAUCUUUUUCGGGAAAGGAAGGCAAAAACCCUUACCUUCAUAUUAGAGAUUUUGAGCAAACAUGUGAUUGUCUUCGCAUUGAAGGCAUUUCUGAUAAAACUUUACGUUGGAAGCUUUUUCCUUUUUCCUUAAGGGGAGAAGCUAGACAAUGGUACAGUCAGAAGGUAAGUCAACAACAAGGUGAAUGGGGAGUUUUACGAGCCAACUUUUGUCUAGAUUUCUAUUCCCUUGAUAGUAUAGCCGACCUUAGACUCGAAGUCCUAUCUUUUAAACAAAAAGAUAAUGAAACUUUGGGAAAAUUCUGGAAACGUUUUUCUGAUCUUUUAGAAUCUGGUCCAAACCUUAAUCUUGAAGACCCUGUUCUUUUAUUUCACUUUUUUCGAGGUCUUCAGAAAAAUCACAAACAAAUGCUACACACAAUGUCUAGAGGUUCUUUCUUUCGAAUCCCUACUGAUGAAGUUAGAGUGAUCCUAGAUAGAAUCCUAGAAGCUGAGAUGGAUAAUGCCCUUCAUGAUGAAACCUACGAAGCCGAAGUAGACACUCUGCCAAAUUCUUCAUCUACUUUAGCUAUCCCAAGUUCUGAGCCACAAGAGGAAGAAAUUCCACCACCGGACUUCAUGCAGGAUAUAGAAUCCGAUCUUUUUGCCGAUUUUGGAAAUAUUUCAAACUACCAUUCUAUUAACAAACCCCAAAACGGCCAGUUUAGCAUUUAUUUGCCAAGUGAAUAUCAAUUGAGAGAGCUUAUCUCAGUAAUGAGUAGCGAAUGGUUGGAGGAAUCAGAGCUUUCUUCUGAUGUGAUCCGUUUGGACACACCCUCUAUAACUAUACGCUGUGCUUAUAAUUCUGAUCGAUUUAAUGCUCUUUAUAAUCCUGUUGUGGGGAUAAAUAUCAUGUCCGAAUCUUUUGCACUUAAACUAUUUAAAAAUCUUGUCUUAACCCCCACAACAAAGGUCAUAAAGGAAUCUUCGGGACGAUUAGUCCCCAGACUUAGAAUUAUUAAUGUCCUACCUCUUACGGUAGAAGGCUCCAUGGUUCCUUUGAACUUCUAUAUCUUUGAUACAUGGGACUUCGACCUGUUAAUAGGACAACCUUUUAGAAGACUCCUUUAUGAAGGUCAUACUGGAAAGCUACACAUUUCUUUUGGAAAAACCUUUAAAUUCCCAAUAACAAUUUCACACUCCUUAAGCAAUAAGGCCGAAUCAUAUCUUUUGCCUGAUCCUAUGGAGGAGGUAAAGGCUGCAUCUCUAGAGCUUUUAGAAGAAUCAGACUUAGAAGACAAAAUUCCUUUCUUCACUGAAGAAGAUGAACCUUCUAAGCCUGAACCCUUAGAUGAGUUUGCAGAAACACCUAGACACCCCAUAGAACUUAAAACUUUACCACCCGGUCUUACAUAUGCUUUCCUAAACAAUAAUCCAGAGUUCCCUGUGAUCAUUAGCGAUAAACUCACUCAGGAUCAAACUCUGCGAUUAAUGACCAUUCUUGAGAAACAUCACUCAGUGUUCGGCUACUCACUCCAAGAUCUUACAGGAAUCAGUCCUAUGAUUUGUACCCAUUGUAUCCCAACAGAUCCUUCUGUUUCACCUUCUCGAGAACCCCAACGUAGACUUAAUAACACUAUGAGAGAGGUAGUUAAAAAGGAAGUUAUAAAGUUGCUGCAUGCAGGGAUUAUAUAUCCUGUGCCGCACAGUGAGUGGGUAAGCCCAGUACAAGUUGUACCUAAAAAGGGAGGCAUGACUGUUAUGAUGAAUGAAAAGAACGAGCUAAUUCCGCAACGCACCGUCACAGGAUGGCGGAUGUGCAUAGACUAUAGAAAACUAAACAAAGCCACGAGAAAAGAUCACUUUCCUUUACCUUUUAUAGAUGAGAUGCUAUAGCGGUUAGCAAACCAUUCGUUCUUCUGUUUCUUAGAUGGAUAUUCAGGGUAUCACCAAAUCCCGAUCCAUCCUGAUGAUCAAAGCAAAACCACUUUUACAUGCCCAUAUGGAAUUUAUGCUUACCGUAGAAUGUCUUUUGGGUUAUGUAAUGCACCAGCUUCUUUUCAAAGAUGCAUGAUGUCUAUAUUUUCUGAUAUGAUUGAAGAGAUUAUGGAAGUUUUCAUGGAUGAUUUCUCUGUUUAUGGAAAAACUAUUGAUAGUUGUCUUGAAAACUUAGACAAGGUUUUGCAAAGAUGUGAAGAAAAGCACUUAAUCCUUAAUUGGGAAAAAUGUCAUUUUAUGGUUAGGGAAGGAAUAGUGCUGGGACACCUAGUGUCUGAAAGAGGUAUUGAGGUAGACAAAGCUAAAAUUGAAGUAAUGGAACAACUACCUCCACCUGUGAACAUAAAAGGAAUUCGAAGCUUUCUUGGCCAUGCUGGUUUUUAUUGUAGAUUCAUAAAAGAUUUUUCAUUCAUUCCUAGACCACUUACUCUUUUACUAGCCAAGGAUGCUCCUUUCGAAUUUGAUGAUGCAUGUUUAACAUCUUUCAAUUUAUUAAAGAAAGCACUCAUCUCUGCACCAAUCAUUCAACCCCCUGAUUGGUCGUUGUCUUUUGAAAUUAUGUGUGAUGCUAGUGAUUAUGCUGUGGGGGGGCAGUAUUAGGACAAACUAAAAAUAAGAAGCAUCAUGCAAUUGCUUAUGCCAGUAAAACUUUGACAGGAGCUCAACUUAAUUAUGCAACCACUGAAAAAGAGCUUCUGGCUGUUGUCUUUGCCAUUGAUAAAUUUAGAUCUUAUUUAGUUGGAGCUAAAAUAAUUGUUUACAUUGAUCAUGCUGCAAUAAAAUAUUUGCUCACUAAAAAAGAUGCUAAACCUUGCCUGAUUAGAUGGAUCUUAUUACUCCUAGAAUUUGACUUAGAAAUAAAAGAUAAAAAGGGAGUAGAAAAUUCUAUUGCUGAUCACUUGUCUAGAAUGUAUUUUAAGAGUCCACAGGAAACCCCCAUCAAUGAUUCACUCCGGGACGACAUGCUCUACGGGAUUAACAGGUCUGACCCCUGGUAUGCAGAUAUUGUUAAUUUUAUGGUUUUAGGGUAUGUACCACAAGGAGCAAACAAGAAGAAGCUUAUUCAAGAAAGUCGUUCACAUAUAUGGGAUGAGCCGUACCUCUUCCGAGUAUGCUCUGAUGGCUUACUUAGGAGAUGUGUGACCACUGAGGAAGGAUGGAAGAUCAUUGACAGAUGAAAUUCAUCACCAUAUGGAGGUUACUAUGGAGCAUUCCGUACACAUUCAAAGAUCUGGCAAUGUGGAUUCUACAGGCCUACAAUGUAUGAAGACACGAAGCAAUAUAUCAGAAGAUGUAGGCCAUGUCAAAGACACGGAAACAUAAAUACAAGGGAUGCAAUGCCACUCACCAACAACCUUCAGAUUGAGCUCUUUGAUGUCUGGGGAAUAGACUAUAUGGGUCCAUUUCCUCCAUCAUAGAAGUGCGAGCACAUCAUGGUGGCGGUUGACUAUGUCUCCAAGUGGGUAGAAGCAUUACCUUGCAAGCAUGCCGACAACGUCAGUUCAAAGAGGAUGUUUGAAGAAAUUAUAUUCCCAAGAUUUGGAGUCCCCGGAGUAGUGAUUAGUGACGGAGGAGCACACUUCAUCGACAAACGCUUCAAGCAAUAUCUAUCAAAACAUGGAAUCCGUCACAACGUCGCUACCCCUUAUCAUCCGCAGACAAGUGGCCAAGCAGAGACUUCCAACAAACAAAUCAAGAAUAUUCUUCAGAAGAUAGUAAAUGAAAUGGGAAUGGCGUGGAAAGACAAGUUACCUGAUGCACUCUGGGCAUACCGGACAGCAUACAAGACCCCAAUCGGAAUGUCUCCAUACCAAUUGGUGUACGGGAAGACUUGCCAUCUACCUGUUGAACUAGAGUUCAAAGCACACUGGGCCAUAAAGAGAUGGAAUAUGGACCUAGAUGUUGCUGUAGAUUAUAGAAGAAUGCAACUAUCAGAAUUGGAAGAAUGGCGAGAGAAAGGAUAUCAAAAUUCAAAGAUAUACAAAGAAAGAGUCAAAAGGUGGCAUGACAAGAGAAUCAAGAAGAAGGAAUUCACACCCGGCGAUAAGGUAUUACUUUUUAAUUCUAGAGUGAAGCUUUUCGGGCAUGGAAAACUCCAUAGAAAAUGGGAAGGACCAUUUAAGGUAAUUAAUUCAUCAUCCCACGGAGCUAUCACACUUCAAAAUAGCGAAGGUACGUUAUUCAAGGUAAAUGGUCAACGUCUUAAAUUAUUUUUAGAACCCAAUGAAGAAUUUGAAGAAAUAGACGUAGUCCAUUUUUACCUUCCCAUGGAGAAUUAGAGUCCGACCUUUUUAGUCUGAUGAUUUUGGGUCAUAAAUAUAUUUUUCUAAAUAAUUUCGUAUCUAGAAACGUGCUCGAGAAAGCGGGCCCACAGAGGGGCCAGAGAGAGGGCGGGCGCCCAGCUCCUGUUCCCCCUCGGUCCCGAUUUUCUCUGUUAUAGAAAAUGCACUUAUGGUAAUCCGAAUAAUCCCUCGGAUGGAAAGUUUCCCACGCACAUCGACGGGAGCAACCCGAACAACCCAUAGAGGCACCUUUUUGACCCCUAUAUAAACAGACCCCUGACCUCAGUUUUCAAACACCAAGCCACCAAGUCUUCUCUCCUUCAAUUAGAGCUUGAUUAGUUCCUUGCUGCUCCAAUGGCCGAGAAGUACCACGAUGAUUGGGAAGUCGUCCCCUUCAACCUCAACAUGGAGCCUGUGGAAGACCCCGAUGCCCGUGCUCUCGUCCCGGCCAACACAGAGCGACAGCUAGAAGCCAUGUCAUUAUGCCAACACAGCUCCGCCCAAUCCUACCAUGCUCAACCAGUUCUCACCGCACCGCCACAACCCCUACUCCUCAAAGGAUCAUCAUCCAAGACGAAGACCACUAUCAAGGUGCCAACCGGCACGAGGAUCCUCCCACCUAGACCCAAUGAGAGGGUCGUUGGAGUCAAGACCAACCGGAGCGGCGAGAUCAGUAGUGUACGCUACACUACGGAGGAGGAAAGGCCUUACUUUGAAGGGAUUCGAGCAGCUAAAGUCCGUUUCAUCCCUCCAAAGGCAGCCCCGAAGCACGCUCUCAAUGCUUUUGAGACACCUCCCAAGCGUCGCAAGACUAUAGUAGACAUUGAUGAGGACGUUCACAGACUAGACAGAGUUAUCAUAGAUCUCCAGUCCUCGAUUAAUUCCCUCACUAGGCAGCUCUCUAACCACAACACCAUUAUACUAGGCCUUAGGCAGGAUCUUGCCAGUGCCAACAAGAAGAUUAAGGAAUUAGAGCGCCGCUAAGUUGUCUAGAUUAGACCUUGAGGCAAUGCAUUUUAGUCAUCUAUCUUUAAAUUCGGUUUAGGUUUACUAUUAUCAUCAGUUUACUACUAUCGUCAGUUUGCUACUAGUUAUUUAUAAUAAAUGCCUCAAGAUUAAUAAAGAAUAUUAUUAUUAUUAUUAUUAUGUCUUGUGUGUCUCUACUUUAUUUUCUGUGCAAGAAAGCACAAAACAAGUAUGGGGGAGAUCCCUCAACAUGUCAAACACACUCCGACUACACCACUCCACGAUUCAGGUACACACUCUGCACACUUUACUUUACACGCACACAACUAUCUUAAUUAUGCAGAAUAUUGUUUCCGACAUGAUAAAUUAAACGGAUUAAAAUAUUUCUAAUCAUGAUUAAUCUCAAUCUGUGAUAUUUCCUGAAAAACUUGCAAUUAUUGAAAAUCAUUUUAAAACCCUGUGUCACUUAAGUCAAUAUGGAAUAUGUGAUGGUAGAGUAUGAGUUUCUUAUUCUUGAUAUCAUUGUUACUUGGAGAAUUUAUUUCAAAAUAUUCGAAAUUAUAGCUACCAUCCUCAGUGUUUUAUAUGCCUGAUAGAACUGAAAAUAUUGAAUAUUAAUUAUAAAAGCUAUCUACUCUGUAUUGAGUUUGUUCAAAAAAUGAGUUAGACCCUUGUUGAGAGAUUUAUCAUCCUCCUAAGAUCAAGACAUUUAUUCAGAAAGAUUCACUCUUCCGAAGUAUUAUUGCAUUAGAGGCAUGGGCUAGGCAAAAAUAGAGAUAUUUCGAGGAAAUAAAAAGGAGCAAGUGCUCGACAACCUCGCAGAAAAAAUGGACAAGUGUCCGGAAGUAGAAUUAGGGGUACUUCGGUAUCCACUUAAAAAAAAGAGAGAAGGAAAAAAAUGAUAGCCCAUGGUCCCUCUAAUAAGCAAUAUGACUGCAAGAGUUGACAAAGAUUUUAAUUUCCAAAGUCUUUGAUCUAAGAGUAUGACAUUCCCCUCCUCGGAUCCCGUUUUGAUCAGGUAAUAAAUGCAAAGUGAGUAUGCUUGAGAAUUUUUUUGCAAAAUAAAACAACCUUAGUGAGAUAUAUAAAAGAUAAUGAGUGAUCAGAGAGAACCUAUGAGGAUAAAAAGGUAUGCUAACUUUCUUUCAAAAAUAUACAAAAACUCCAAGUGACAAGGACUGAGAAGAAAGGAUCUUUACUCUUAACCAUAAACAUCCCUGACUAUGGUACACAGUGAUAUUUUAACACCCUGCAAACAUAAAAGAAUGUUUUAAAUGUUUACCCUAGAUAUUGUUCUUAACCAUCCUUUUCUUGAGGACGAGUAAAAGCCUAAGUAUGGGGGUAUUUGUUGACGGUCCUUAAGUAUCAAUUUUAAUUAUCAAAUAAACAAGAGAAAGGACAAAUAUGCAAACAACACCUAGAAUUAGGGUUUGAUCUGACAGAAUUCCACGAGUUUUGUUGUUUAUCUAUUUCUGCAGGGGGUUAUCAGGAAAUAAGGAAGAAAGGCCCGCAUGUCGGGAUUACAUAGAGAUAUCAACGCACCGCGCGAUUUUCUACCAUCUAGAAGACUCCAGAAGCCACGGGAAGAAGACGGAGGCCGAAAGGGGCCACGCCCAGGGCGCCCGCCCUGGUGACCUGGGCGCCCACCCCCUGUUGGAUGCAGUUCAGGACUCUCUUCGCUCGGGAUAUUCCACCGACCUAUUGGAUCAAGGAAAACAUAGUACCACCUCGCCUAUCGACCCAAAAACGCAUAGAGGAGGAGGACUAUAUAAGGAGACCCCUCUGGCCCCUGGAGAAGACAUGAAGAAAUUAUCAUAGAGACUGAGGGGUGCCCUCGAAGGAAAAUCUCUUCUCUAAUUAAUAUUUCUUUUUAGGCUUAGCAACCAAUGUAAGGUAUAAAUAGAUCUUCUAGUUUCUACUAGAUUGAGAGAGAUAGAGUGGAGGUGUAGAUUGGAGGAAGCCCGGCCUGUCGGUGUCUACUCCAAGCUUGUGCCUGCGGGAUCAAGUUCUCCUAACCCGAAGCUUGCUCCUAGGAUUCUUCAGUAUUUCGACUUCUAAAUUCUAGUAAGUUCUUGUUUUAUUGUUCUUAUGGUUUAUGAGUUUACUUUAAUCUCUUCGCGUAGAGUUUAGAGUAAUCAUUGCUGGCGUAAACGUGGUGUUUAGGCUGGGGUACUCAUAGAUAUUCCCUGACUAGCUGGACCGUGGUAGUAGUGAGGAACGUGACAAUUCCGAGUUUCCUUUGCAGAUCACAUCUCGUUAGCAGGAAGGAUAGGGUUUAUAGGUGUGGGUUUAACAUCCUUUGUGGUGUCUAGAUUCCGUUAGCCUCCCCAUUAGAACAGUAGAUUAUCCUUACCAAGGUUAGAAGGAGACUACGGUUGCAGUCUUCUCUAUUUAUCACUCACAUCGAAAGACAUUCUUUGUGCCUAAAGGUUUGUAGUAAUAGACCGGUUAGUCAGAUGCACUCUUUCUCCUAGUGGUAAAAAAAUAAAUAUGAUACUCUUGAUAACCUCCUGGGUGAAGUGCUCACCGAUAUCCGUGCGCUUGCGGAUCAAUUCCUUAUUGCGUUCCCAAAUAUCAACAGGCGCCCGCCCUCCUGCCGAGCCCAAUCAGGACUCUCUCUCGGGAACGAUCUCCACCGACCUAAAGGAUCAAGGAUAACCGUUCAAUCAAUGUCGGUUUGAUCCAACGGCCCAUAUUCACUUGAAGGGACUAUAAAACCAGACCCCCUGGCCCUUGGAGGAGAGAGCCUCUCAACCCUAAUUCAUUAUUCCUCAAGGGAGAAGAAGCCUCUGAUCAAGAUUAGAGCCACCACAUCAAUUAGACAUCUAGAUUAGCAUAGCUACAUAGGAUUAGAACUAGAAGGAGUCAAUCUUCGAUUAGUUUCCGGAUCUGUCAUGAGGAUUCUUGGUAAUUCUCUAAUUGUGCUUCUAAUUGUUCUUAUAAUUAUCUUUGUUCUUCAAUAUUAUGAAAAUGACUUUGUUCUACUUCAAUAUAUUGCUUAUGACUUUGCUCUACUUGCUUAUAUUCAAGAUUAUAUUGUUCUUAGUUUAUCAUAGUUAUGUACUUGGCUUAGUUAGAUUGGAUCUAUAUACAUGCUUAGGAUCAUAUAGCGUUUAUCCAUCGGAUCCAUGGGUAAAUGAUAGAUAUUGUGUAGGCGUGGUGCUUAUACCGUAUUUAUCUGCGAUUGUACCCAAUAUGCCUGAUCGUGGGGUAGUUCGUGAUAGUGACAGCUUCAUUGAUUCUUAUAUAGUCCCCCUCUCGUGUAUUGGGCUGGCAGAGCAACAUUAUUACAGGGGAGUGAUUGCUAUGUUUCUCAUUUACCUUGCUAAUAUCACUAUGCAUGGGCGUAGUCUUGUCUCGCAAUGAUUGCUAAGUAUGCUUGCACUAACUAUGAUAAUGCUAGACUAUAUAGUUGAGAAUAACUUAGGGAAUAUUCAUGUAGUUCGUUCUAAUAACAUGCUAAUGACUUUCUAGAGUAUCUAAUUCAGGUGCUUAUCAUAUUUAUUAUGUGGUUAAGUUAUGAUCAGAUUAAUUAUCUUUAUCACUAUUCAUUACUUCAUAUAUCUUUUAUGUGACACUUACCCCUGUAUGAAAGAGUUAGAUAAAUGUUCUCAAUUAUAUAUGCAAUGACAGAUACUCAAUCUCAUAUUCUAUUUUGUAAUAAAUAUUGAUGAUUGCUAAUCCCUUCCCAGUGGACAAAAUAUAAAUAACGAUACCUGGAAUACUUCCUGGUUAAAAUGCUACAUCGGUAUUAAUCUGUGCGCUUGCAGAUCCCAAUCAUUAUUUAUUUAGAAGAGCAAUUGCAUAUUUCAAUACCGCGUCUCUCAUGUCAUGCUGGGGAUGACAACUUGGCUUAAGUGGUAUGAGGGAUAGGUUUGGCAUUUUUGGCACCGUUAUCAGAUUUAGAAAACUAAGUCUACUUUUGGUAAUGAUGUUAAGAAUACCCAACAGCUACCACAGACAAUGCUCGCCUGUUGCACGAAUUAGCGCAGCGCCAACCUCACCCUCUCCCAAACCUCUGAGCCCAGCAUAAUCCGGAGGAGAAACUCGUUACGUGGGUUUCACCGAAACAAGGCCACCAGUGUUUACCAAGGCAGAUGAGCCUUUGGAGGCUGACGACUGGCUUCGGACAAUGGAGCAUAAAUUCAGCCUGAUCCACUGUUUAGAGACUCAAAAGCCCCUCUUCGCAGCCGAACAGCUCUGGGAGCUGCAGGGGCCUGGUGGGAAAAUUUCCUUGCUAUCCAGAAUCCAGGACACCAGGUCACCUGGGAAGAAUUCAAGGAUGCUUUUCGCGCCCAUUAUAUUCCAGAAGGGCUUAUGGCAAUGGAAGCGGAAGAAUUCCUCGCCUUGCGACAAGGCAACAAAACUGUGAUGGAAUACGUGGCCAAAUUCAAUCACCUUUCUCAGUAUGCUUCGGAGUACGUGAAUACUGAUCUGAAGAAGAAGGCCUACUUUAUGCGCGGCCUCAAUACAAAGCUUCAAACAAUGAUGACCACAUGCCAGAAUGCCAUUUACUACGAAGCGGUUAUCAUUGCCAUCGCCUCAGAAGAGAAGAACAGAAAACAUAAAGAAGCAAAGAAGAAGGCCACUUCUUCCUCUUUCUCUAGUCGCGGCCAAAAGCGCCAGAGAAUCAUCUAUCACCCACAGGGCCACGGGUGCUUUCCGGCGCAGUCACCUUUUCGUGGUUCCUUUCCUCCUUCCCAGUAUCGACCCGUGCAACAGGUCUAUACUCGACCUACUGCCAUCACCACAGCACCACGCCAGCCGAACGCCCUAGGUGUUCAUCCUACUGCUCCGUCAAACCACAAUUAUCCUUGCUACAAUUGUGUUAAACCCGGGCAUUUCUCUAAAGAAUGCCCCUACCCUCGACAAAAUAUCCCACUUUCCAAAGACCACCUAUUGGCCAACCCCAACCGAGCCAGUUUAAAAAUGGGGCUUAGAAAGGGCAAAAUGCACAAAGGGGUAAACCUGCAAAGAAGGUGGGACAAGUUUUUCAUACAGAGGUUGAAACAAUACCGGAAGGAGAGCCAGUAAUGAUGGGUACGUUCCCUGUUGCUGAACAUCCUGCCUUAAUGCUUUUUUAUUCUAGUGUGUCUCAUACUUUCAUCAAUCGCACCUUUGUGAUAAAGUAUGACAUACCGAUCAGGGAAACUAAGGAUCAUUUCUAUAUACAGUCGCCAGGAGGACAACUGAGUUCUAAGGAAAUGGUUUAUCAAAUACCCAUCGAUUUUGGUGGGCAUAGUUUUCCCACCAGUAUGAUUGUUCUUAAAGAUCAAGAUAUUGAUGUUAUACUAGGCAUGAACUGGAUGGCACAACGAGGGAUUGUGCUAGACACCCUGCAUCGAACUAUCAAGAUGACAUUGCCCAAUGAUAAUUCUUACCUUCUAAUCCAAUUAGCCACUCCAAAACAGGCAAUUGAACAAGUUCAUGCCACUACUGUGACAGAAGUUGAAAAUAUCCUAGUAGUUCGGGAGUUUCCGGAUGUGUUUCCCGAGGACCUACCAGGUCUGCCACCAGACCGGGAUGUUCAAUUCAGCAUAGAAAUGAAACGAGGGACAACCCCAAUUUCUUGAAGAGCCUAUCGAAUGGCACCAAAAGAAAUGGCUGAAUUGAAAACCCAAUUACAAGAGUUGUUGCAGAAAGGUUUUAUUCAACCCAGUUCAUCUCCAUGGGGUUCUCCAGCCUUUUUUGUGAAAAAGAAUGAUCAAACAUUAAGGCUAUGUGUCGAUUAUCAUCCCUUAAAUGAAGUGAUGAUUAAAAACAAGUACCCACUGCCCCGCAUUGACCUGCUAUUUGAUCAGUUAGCCGGGGCUAAAGUAUUCUCAAAGAUUGAUUUGAGAUCUGGGUACCAUCAAAACAAAAUUAAGCCGGAGGAUGCUCCCAAGACGGCUUUUACAACCCGUUAUGGGCUGUAUGAAUAUCUGGUGAUGUCCUUUGGUUUAACCAAUGCACCAACUCACUUCAUGUACUUGAUGAACUCUGUCUUCAAGCCAGAGCUGGACAAAUUUAUAGUCGUCUUCAUUGAUGAUAUUUUGAUCUACUCCAAAACAAAGAAAGAACACGCUGAACAUCUGAGGAUUGUGCUGACCCGUCUCACGGAUCCUCAACUAUAUGCUAAGUUCAGCAAGUGUGAAUUCUGGCUAGACAAAGUCCAUUUCCUGGGUCAUGUAUUAUCAGCGGAGGGAGUCGCUGUAGACCCGGGUAAAGUAGAAGAUGUUUUGAAUUGGAAGCCCCCGACUACGGUGCAUGAGGUCCGUAGCUUUUCGGGUAUGGCGGGAUAUUACCGCCGCUUCAUUCCGAACUUUUCAAGGGUCGCUAAGCCAAUCACAGCCUCGCUCAAGAAUCAAACAAAAUUUGUUUGGUCGUCUGGAUGUGAGCAGGCCUUUCAGAUUCUGAAAAGGUUUCUGACUACUGCACCUGUGUUAGCCCAGCCGAAUAUUGAAAAACCCUUUGAUGUGUAUUGUGACGCAUCAGGAAUAGGGAUAGGUUGUGUGCUAAUGCAUGAGGGUCAAGUAAUUGCAUAUGCCUCUAGGCAACUUAAGACACACGAAGAGAAUUACCCGACCCAUGAUCUUGAGCUAGCCGUCAUAGUGCAUGAUUUGAAGAUCUGGCGCCACUAUGUGUUGGGGAACACUUGUCAUCUAUACACAGAUCAUAAGAGCUUGAAAUAUAUUUUUACUCAAGCUGAACUUAAUAUGCGCCAGCGAAGGUGGCUAGAAUUGAUCAAAGAUUACGAUCUUGAGGUGCAUUAUCACCCUGGCAAGGCGAAUGUAGUAGCUGAUGCCCUCAGUCGUAAGGCUCACUGUAAUUGCUUAACAGUGACGCCUAAAGAUAUAUCUUUGUGCCAAGAGCUGGAGAACUUGGGAAUAGAAAUGACUUCUCAAGGAAGCCUUGCCAAUCUAAAGAUUGAUUUCAAUCUCGAAGCUCAAAAUCAUAGCGGCACAAAAAGAAGACAAAGGCAUGAAAUACAUCAAAGAGAAAAUUUCAAACAGAGCACCCACAGAAUUUAAGGUGGAUGAUGCAGGAGUAAUCUGGUUCAAAAACCGGUUAGUAGUUCCAAAGGUACCUGAGCUACGUCAGCAAAUCCUGGAUGAAGCCCAUACCACAAAAUAUUCUAUUCAUCCAGGGAGCAAUAAAAUGUAUUAGGAUCUAAAGCAGAGGUUUUGGUGGACGAAAAUGAAAAUAGAAAUAGCCCGCUAUGUGGCCCAAUGUGACACUUGCCGAAAGGUCAAAGCUAUUCAUCUCAAAUCUGCUGGAGAGUUGCAACCCUUGCCUAUUCCAGCAUGGAAAUGGGAUGAUAUUAGCAUGGAUUUCAUACUGGGAUUGCCCAAGAUGGCAAAAGGCUUUGAUUCUAUUUGGGUCUUUGUGGAUCGUCUUACCAAAACGGCACACUUCUUACCUGUGAAGAUAUUAUAUCUUGCUUCCACCUAUGCCAAAAUUUAUUUUGAUCGUAUACUGAGUCUGCAUAGGGUGCCAAAGACAAUAGUGUCAGAUAGAGGCACACAAUUUGUCUCCUAGUUUUGGAAAUGCUUACAUGAAUCUUUGGGCACCAAGCAUUUAUACAAUACAGCCUACCAACCUCAAACAGGUGGGCAAACUGAAAGGGUGAAUCAAACACUAGAAGAUCUAUUGAGAUCAUGUGCCCUAAAUUUUCCAGACAAGUGGGAUGACUGCCUGCCUCUAGCAGGGUUUUCAUACAACAAUAACUACCAACAAAGUAUUAAGAUGGCUCCAUUCGAGGCACUAUAUGGCCGUCGAUGUCGGACUCCACUACACUCGUCUGAACCCGGUGAAAGAUGGUUCUUUGGGGUUGACUUAGUGAAGGAAACUAAAGACAAAGUUAGACAAAUUCAAAAUAACUUGAAGGUUGCUCAAUCCCGACAAAAGAGCUAUGCUGAUAGAAGACAUCGACCCUUAAGAUUUGCCAAGGGUGACCACGUGUAUCUAAAGGUAUCCCUAAUGAAAGGAGUGAAUCGUUUCGGGGUUAAAGGCAAGUUAGCACCUCGCUACAUUGGUCUGUUUCCAAUCAUUGACCGGUGUGGACAGGUAGCUUACCGCCUUAAAUUGCCCAAACGAUUAUCCGGGGUACACAAUGUGUUUCAUGUAUCUCAAUUGAAAAAGUGUCUUCGAGUACCAGACUAGGUUCAAGAUAUUGAAGAUGUGGAACUUGAACCGGAUCUGACUUAUGCAGAAUAUCCUAUCAGAGUAUUGGACCAAAAAGAUAGAGUUACCCGGAGAACAACUACCAAAUGGUACAAGGUACAAUGGAGUCAACACAAUGAGGAGGAAGCCACAUGGGAAUCAGAAGACUAUCUAAUGGAGAAUUUUCCUAAGUUUCAUGCUUCUCUUCAACAUAACAUCCAAUAAAAAGAAGUGUACUCUAGAAGGGAAAAAGGGUAGCCAAAGCCAUGUACAUUUGUUGGACCCUGUUGUGUGACCGUCGUCGAGGUUGACGACGAGGAGGAGUAAGCAUGACCCAUGGGCAGGGUCUGUAAAUUUCUAAUCUUUGUACUAUGGUUUAAGUUGCUCCACUGGACCUGGCUUGUAAUAACACUUUAUCUAAGUCCUACUUUGAAGAACUACUUUUAUAAAUUAAGUUAAUUAUUACUUCCGCUGUUUUGCUCUGAAAUGCUAUUUUGGUUAAAUAUCGUUUGUGAUACUGCAAUGUCUUCGCAACGAAUGAUCCUGGUGUUAAGGUGGCCACUUGCUAUCUUGAAAGGGUGAAAAGAAGAAGUUCUCGUUAAUUGACCAUCACUGGUGGUCAGGACGAGUUUGGUUGUUACGCCACAGGUAGCAGUGGGAUGGGCGUCCUGGGAUGCUCAUCGGGCUUCUAGAGUAGAAGGAUCCCCGACAUCACCGUUAGAGGUCCUUGGGACAAUGACAGGUGUUGCUGGGCCCAACUACCUAGGAGGUUCUGCCACAAUUAUACCUCCCAAUAGAGAAAGGAACUGUCACAACAUGGCUCACACGCACCGCACCACAGUCAUUCACCCACUACAUAUUGUAUGGAUUAGGACGAUGCCUUUGUUUUAGCUCCAUUCUAUCAACCAAUUCUUGGCUAGCAAUAUUGUUGCAGUUGCCAUUGUCAACAAUAAUUCUACACAACUUUUCUUUGAUCAUGCCUCGAGUGUGGAAAAGAUUGUGUCGCUGCUCAUUCUCUUCCUUUGCAGCAGUAACACUAAGCACACGAAGAGAAAUAAAGCAGUUGUUAUCACCUUCAUCGGGUUGGAUCUCAUUUUGAUUGCUUUCAUAAUCCUCAUCAUAUAUUGGACCUUCUUCCUCAUGAUCACUUUCAGAUUCCCAUUCACCAUCGCAUUCACAAUCAUGGUCCUCCUACUGGGACAUUGUGCAGCAAUAUGUCCACGACCAUGGCACUUGUGGAGGAAGUAGUAGCUGAAGGAGCAACAGUUGGGCUGCUACACUUGUAGCAGGUCACUGCUGAUAUGCAUGAGAUGAUGCUGUAGGCACCACCAUCUUUGAAGGAGCAUUAGAUGAAGAGGGCCUAGCUGCAGCACCUUCGGACCGUCCCCCACUGAAUUAAGUGCUAGACUGCUGCUUGCGCCAUGAGGCUGCAAUAGAAUGACUUGCAUAAGAUUUUCCACGUGUCUCUUGCUGAAUUUUUCUUUCAGUACGCAUAGCUUGAUCAACAAGGUCUUGCAAAGUAUGGUAUGGAAACAUCUCAACAAAACCAACAAUUUCCUCAUUGAGACCACCUAAAAAUCUUGCCAUUUUUUACUCUGGAUCCUCUCUAAUUCCAGAUCGCACUAACAGCAGCUCCAUCUCCUUAUAAUACUCAUCAACCGAUCUUUUUCCUUGCUUCAAUCUUUGUAGCCUAUUGUGAAGGUCAUGCUGAUAGCUUGAUGGUACAAAUCGCCUUCUCAUCACUUGCUUCAUCUCUUCCCAUGUGUUGAUAUGUUCAUAGCCCAACACAAGUUGAUUCUCCUGUAUCUGAUUCCGCCAAGUCAGAGCAUAACCAGAGAACUCCACUGAAGCAAGAUUAACACACUGUUGACGGUCCUUAAUGCUCACAUUUAACCAUCAACUAAUCAUAGAAAAGGAUCCAAAUACAACCAACACCUAGACUUAGGGUUUUAUCUGACAGAAUUCCACGAGUUUUGGUGUUUGUCUAUUUCUGCAGGGGGUUAUCAGGAAAUACGGAAGAAAGGCCCACAUGUCGGGUUUACAGAGAGAUAUUAACGUGUCGUGCAAUUUUCUAUCAUCUAGAAGACUCCAGAAGCCACGGGAACGAACGGGAAGGCAAUCGGGCUCGGAGGCAGGGCGCCCGCCCAACUCUCCUGGGCGCCCGCCCAGCUACAGUGCCCAAUCAGGACACGUUUCGCGGAUUAUGCUCCACCGACCUAAAGGAUCAAGAAAAACCGUGCGAUUAAUGUCGGUUUGAUCCGACGGCCUAGAUUCACUUGAAGGGACUAUAAAACCAGACCCCCUGGCCCCUGGAGAUCAUACCUCUUCUACAGAAUCAAAGUUAGGGUUUCAAUUCUUCAUCCAAGUAGAGAGGAUCACUCUAGUUCUUCUAGUUCUACCUCUAGUUCAUCUAGAUCUAGUUCUAGUUCACCUAGUUCUAGUUCUAGUUCCUCUAGUUCUAGUUCUAGUUAGUUCUAGUUGUAAUCUAGAAAAUAGGGAGAGAGAAGAGGAGAGCGGAGGAGGAGCCGGAUCUGUCGGAUCUUCCUCAACAUUGUACUUUUGCAGCAACUGGUUCGUUCUUCAUCGUUCUCCAGGUUCUUCAAUUCAUAAUUCCUGAGUUCUUUAAUUACUUUUAUUUACAUUCAAGUUAUUUAUUGGAUUCCCGCUUGCAUCAAGUGCUCUAAUCUUUGAAACAUUAGAGUAGUAAUUAAUAGAUUAGACGUGGUGUUUAGUCUUCCAAUUACGUGGAAUUGCACCCAAUCCUGCGGAUUGUUGUGGUAGCCUUAGGGUAGUGACAGCCCUAACGGUCGACGUAUUCCACCUCGUUCGAAUCGGUGUUUGUAGGACCGUAGUCGGAGCUUCCUAGCCCCCUUCUCAUCUCUUUCUGUGGUUAGUGUUCUGAUGUCCCGAUAUAAAUAAUCUUUGAAGUAAUUCUUGAUUCUUAGAUCAACUAGAGAACUCUCAGGAAACUUCCUCUCUUCCCACCAAAAAUAAUUAUAUAGUUAUCCUUGGGCGAUCUUGGAUCUUAAUUAGUACACUCACGUUCUCUGUGGAAAAUCGAUACUCUAGAAUACUCCCGGGUGAAAGCUACAUCGGUAUCCGUGCGCUUGUGGAUUUUUCUGUUUGCGUUUAAAAUACCCAACAAGCUUUCUGGCGCCGUUGCCGGGGAAUGGUAGUUGUGCUAGUUUCGAACCAAGUUGUCCGUGUAUCCUUUUUCUUUUCCUUUUUUUACCACACUCACCUUAUCACUUUCACCAUACCACAUGGAUUUCACUCUAAGCAUUAAUGAGCAUGGAAUUUAUUUCAUAGCCACUUCAUUUACUCCAUGCUCAUAUGCAACAUCUUCACAAUCCAUUGUUCUCUCCAACAUCACCACAUUCGAGAUCUCCAACCCCCUCUUCCUUUCUAUUCAUAAAAACUUUAAAAGGGCGGUUGUCGAUGCAUAUGUCUAUAUUAAAUAUUGCAGAUCUCGUUGAGUUGAUCUUGAUAUAGGUCAGCGUUGGAGGGCAAACCACUUCGCCGACAUAAAUUGAUGGUUUCCCAAGGACAAACUUAGUGUCCUAAUCAGAUCGUAACAUAAGCUUUUAAUUAUUUGCAACAUUACCUUGUGUAUUGAGCAUAUAAGGAUAAUUGUAAAAAAAUUCCUUCGGGUAUUCUUGUCACUAACCUUUCUAGGAUUGGAGCAAGAAGAUCGGAUGAAUGACAAGCACAAGGUAUGUACAACCAAUCAUCAUACAACAUUGAAUUAAAUUCAUCCAAACUAGAAUUUUGCAAAAUUCAAGCUUGGGGGAGUACUUUAUAUAAAAAUAUCAUUUGCCAUGUUGCUAUGUUGGUUGUCCCUACCUUUGAGACAUGCUCAAUUUGUUAAAUAGUAAUCACACUACUUCAUCUCCACUUGAGUAGAUCUCUAUAAAAGCCAUCACGCUACCUUUGUUUAUCCUAGUAAGUGUUAGUUUGGAAGUACUGUACAUACUUCUAUUGGUUUUUAAAUUAAGCAUGGUGCUUAGGUUAAAUAGCCUUCCUUAAUCUAAUUAGACAUGGAGUCUAGUUUGGUUAUUGAACUAAAAACUGCUUGUGUAGACAUUGGUAUAUUUUGUUGGACUAACCCCUGCAGGAAAACUUUCAAUAUCGACCUGGGAAGUCCUGAGAUAAACUCACAUUGGAGACAAAGAGAGACACACAUGAAGUUUAACAAUUUAUACAAGGAAGGCAUAGCUCACAAGGGAUGAUCCAUGGAGGUGCCACAAACACGAUGCACAACUGUUAAGAGAGGAAAGCUUCCACAAGGUGAUACUGUACCAUCACUCUUCAAGUAAGGUAACAUCUUAAGGUACUUGACUAUCACUUCUAUAAGCUUCUCCUUGGUUCUGGCGUUCACAUGAAUAAAAGAGACAAACAUGUAUGAUUUACCACUCUAGAUUAACCAACCCAAUCGAUUCAACAUGUUUAGCCCUUCCACCUUUGUGAUCCCACACUUCUAUUCAUAUGAGCUAAAGUGUUGCACAUUCAAUCUUUGGAAGAUAUAAACAAAACAUAUGUAUAGAUAGAUUAUCUUUCCAUUAGGUUGAGCGAUCUGAUCUGACAAAUGUUUUAAAUGCUACACUCAUGAUCUUAUUAUCCAUCAACUUUGUCUUGCUCACUAUGCUUAAGGUUAGAGAAGAACAAAUACACUUUUGUUUCUGUUGGUGUUUUCCACCAACAGGGCCCAUGCACUUGAUCUCUGCCUUGUCUCUAUGAGCAGGUACACUUCGAGCAAAAUAUGACGGACUUUUACAACUCCCAGACUCCACCAAGUGAAGAACCUAGAUCUACGAGCACAAACACACUGGAGAUACUGGACACUCAGGCAAUCACUGCCCUGAGAUGCUUGAGGACGUAACUAAUGGAGUAACCCCGUUGUGGAAGUAAUUACUGACCUUCUGCUGGUCAAGAGAGACAACCCAGGACGCCCCGUCAUCCCGAUCUCCAUCGGCAUGGUGGAGUUCCUAGAAGCACUCUGCGACUUUGGCUCCAGCGUCAACAUUAUGCCCAAGGUACUCUAUGAAAAAAUUCUUUACACAUCCUUUACUAGAAACAACCGUGUGCUUGCAGCCUGCAGAUCAGACACUAAGUUUCCCAAAGGGAAUAUUGAAGAACCUCUACGUCCGAGUUGGUACCUUGUGCGCCCUAGCAGACUUCGUGAUGAUAGAGACUGGUACUGUUGAGAGGGCACCCAUCAUCCUAGGGAGGCCAUUCCUGAACACCUCGGGAGCUAUCAUCUACGCUAGUGCUGCCAAGAUCAGUUUCUACAUCAAGGGGAGGAAGGAGACGUUUUCCUUCAAGAACAAGACUACACAAAUCUCAGAGCAAUCCAGACAUGAACCAAGGAAGAGGACCAACAGGAGGAACAGAAACAAGCAAGUGUGGACCAAGACAGCUAAGAUGGUUACUGUAGUUCAAGGAGGACAAGAUCGUCGACUGAAGUAACCAUUCCUGACCAAAAAGGAUGACCCAGUCACCUAUUAGCUCCUAUUCAGAACCAUGCCCCUAGAACCGACAUACAUUCAGCUCCAGAUAGCAGAUCAGACAUUUCGAAAGGUUGAAGGUUAUAGACAUGGGAGAAGACGAGUAUGAUCCACCCAUCAUCCUUGGGAGACCGUUCCUCAGCACCGUCAAAGCAAUCAUCUACAUUGGAAUGGAGAAGUCCACAUGCAUUUCCCCUCUGAGAAGGUAUGCCACUGUUUUACUGACCCUAACUAUAUAGUUGAAGACUCUAAGCAGGUCAGGACAAGAAGAAGACGACGCAACCGUAACCAGAGGAGGAAAAUCAUAAAGGACGGAUGGGCAGAGUACGAAGGAGAAGCGCACCAAGGCAGGUGUGGAAAAACAAGAUAGUUAUACAUGAAGAGUACGCGCCGCCGGAACCACCGACUACGCCAUCCAGCGAAUUCCAGGAUGAUUGAGAAAACGGAGAAUCCUGUUCGGAGGACUUAAAGACACCGAACGCCUUGCCAAGAGGUAAACUUGGUAGUUAUCUUUUUCCUUUCAACUAUUUAAAAUAGUUUGCUUAGUUAAUCAGGUUCAUAUCAUCUUGAAAAGAAAAUAAAAAUGUUAAAAAUAGUAAGCCCCAUGUGAGUAUGCUCAUGGCAUAAACCCCAUAAGUACAUCCACUGUGGUGGCAUAAAAAAUGAAAUAAAUAUAUUCCUGUCCUAUAAAAAUAAAAUUAUAAAAAUAAAAUUAUGAUCCUACUAAUGAGUAACAUUUAUUGAGGAGGCUCAACAUGAUAAAGGCUAGAUAUUUAUGCUAACACUUAACCAGUUCCACAAAGCUUUGUUGUCUAUUUGAGCUCCACAGAAUUCAAGGAUCAAAGAAGACUAGUAGACGGAGGAUAUCCUAAUCGCUGUCAGGGUGCUGCCGACAUUCAAAUACACCUCCGCCACUUGCUAGCUACAUCAGAAGGGAUUACGUCAAAAUCCAGCUUGGGGGAGAGCACCCCCAUUUAUCCAGCUAAGUAUUCUACUCACGUUUAUAUUUUACUUAAAUAAUAAAAAGAUGCAUAAUCAUAAAAACCCAAAUAAAGAUUUUUUGCUUAUAUAUAUCUUUUCUUAGUUUGAUAAAUAAAUAAAUAAAUAAAGUUUGCUAUGAACCCUCAUGAUAAGCUUUCACAUGGAAAUGAUGAAUAGUUGCUCUGCCAUGACUAGUUCUAAAAAUUAAAAUCUCUCUUAAGUUUAGGCAUGACUGUUAUUAAUUAAGAUUUGCUCUAAACCUGAACUUGUGGGGAGAGUACUUGAUCUAAAGUCUAAGUCGUUAACGGAUACGAUAUGGGAAGGUUGAGCUGUUGUUUAUCUGUUCCUAGUGAUGCUAGAAUUCUGGAGAAUUUUAUCUUUGAAAAUCAUUAAAAUGUUGCAUGAUGAGUUCCUGUAUGAUGAGAGUUAAAUUCCUACCACAGCCGUAUAUACAUGCUAGCUAGACUUUGAGCCACACAUUUACUUUUUACUGCUUAUGAGCAUUGAGUGUGGUCAAGCUGUGUAGACCCUUAGGAGCCUGUCAUGUGGUUAAGUCAAGAUUCACUUGCACGUUCACUCAUACAUGCUGCUUCUACUCCAGAAGUACCAUCCACAUAUAUCCAUCCAUUUCCAUCUCCAGAACCACCCAAAAAUAUUCUACUCCUAAUCCGGGAGAGAAUAGCCAAAAACAUUCUCCUAUUUCUGUUUUUUCCUGUGAAAAAAAAUGCUCAAGUUAUCUUGGUUACUACCACUUGCUAUAUUAUUUCAGGAGAUGAGUGCUCUAAAAAAAAGAAAGAAAAAAGAAAGAAUGCGAGGAAAUAAAAAGGGGCAAGUGCCCGGAACCUUGAAGAAAAGAAAAAGUGAGACGAGAGGUAAAAAUGGACAAGUGUCCGACAGUAGAAUUAGGGGUACAAGAUACCCACCUGAGAGGAAAGAAAAAAAUACAGAGCAUCUCAUUCUCCCUAAAAGUUUCAAAAGAGCAAGAAAGGUAUGUAUCCUCUCAAAAGAGCAAAAGUAGAAUUAGACUUUCACCAUUGUUAUCACUAUCAUCACCAUACACCAUUCAUUCGCCACACAUGCACAUCUUGAUUUGACUUAUUGACUUGUUCUUCUGGAUCCAUGGUUUGACUAUGCAAUAGAUGUCUUGUAAGUAUGUAUUAGCUGUCUCCCACCUAUGAGCUCCAGAUAUCAAAACCUUAUUAGAGUAGGGUGAGAGAGAAGGAAAUGUCACUAUGCCUCAUACCAAAAAUACCACAUACUUUGAGAGAAGGCAUACACCAUUACUGCCUUGGUAAGGAUCCAGAAAUACCAUAAAAGAGAGACUAGAAAGAGUCAUACAAGGAAUCUCUGAGUUUUAUUUGAAAAUCUGCAAAAACUCCAGAGCUAUAGUUAAUCGAAGAACAAGAGACAUGGUGGUUGACUUGACCGUUCUAUCUUUUAACUGCUCAAGACACAAGUGAUGGUUAUAAACCCCAUGGUGAAAGGUAAAAUGAGUAAGUUUAAAUAUUAACAGUUUACCCUAACCCAGAGAUGAGAUCUUGUUUGAAUGCAUGUAUAUCUUUAAGGCAUGAAACCACUGCAGAAACUUUUGAGUUUAUCUUUGCUCAGGGACGAGCAAAGGUUAAGCUUGGGGGAGCUUGUUGACGGUCCUUAAUGCUCACAUUUAACCAUCAACUAAUCAUAGAAAAGGAUCCAAAUACAACCAACACCUAGACUUAGGGUUUUAUCUGACAGAAUUCCACGAGUUUUGGUGUUUGUCUAUUUCUGCAGGGGGUUAUCAGGAAAUACGGAAGAAAGGCCCACACGUCGGGUUUACAGAGAGAUAUUAACGUGUCGCGCAAUUUUCUAUCAUC